GUGCCUAACACAUGCAAGUCGAGCGAGAAAGCCCGCAAGGGUGAGUAAAGCGGCGCACGGGUGCGUAACACGUGGGUAAUCUGCCCUGGAGUCCGGAAUAACUCGCCGAAAGGCGUGCUAAUGCCGGAUGAGACCACGGGAGCCUUGGCUCCUGCGGAAAAAGGUGGCCUCUGUACACAAGCUAUCACUCCAGGAUGAGCCCGCGGCCCAUCAGCUAGUUGGCGGGGUAAUGGCCCACCAAGGCUACGACGGGUAGCUGGUCUGAGAGGACGAUCAGCCACACUGGAACUGAGACACGGUCCAGACUCCUACGGGAGGCAGCAGUGGGGAAUCUUGCGCAAUGGGCGAAAGCCUGACGCAGCAACGCCGCGUGUGUGAUGAAGGUCUUCGGAUCGUAAAGCACUGUCGCGAGGGACGAAUAAGGGCUGGGUGAACAAUCCAGUCCGAUGACGGUACCUCGAGAGGAAGCACCGGCUAACUCUGUGCCAGCAGCCGCGGUAA
Molecule: ribosomal RNA, 501 nt
Filed under: uncultured delta proteobacterium
Lineage: Bacteria; Deltaproteobacteria
Description: bacterial SSU rRNA
Rfam family: Bacterial small subunit ribosomal RNA
Source: RNAcentral